Long non-coding RNA from Lemur catta (Ring-tailed lemur), 479 nucleotides. RefSeq lists it as uncharacterized. The record is from RefSeq and is a predicted model, not a curated record. Lineage: Eukaryota; Metazoa; Chordata; Mammalia; Primates; Lemuridae. The transcript is spliced from 2 exons.
CAAGUUGGCUGGCCUGGAGUGCAGGGCCCGUGAGAAUUCAUCAGAACACGGUGAAGCAUCCCAGGUGUCGGGCUCAAAGGUCAUGCACUGAUGUAAUCUCGUCCCAGGGUCUUUUGCUGAGCUGGUUGGAGUCAGACUCCAGCGGAAACCCGUCUUCUGCUCCCGCGCUCCGUCUCCAAGUUGGUGGGGAGCGGCCCACUCACAGGGGAGGCUGCAGUGUAGCGUUGCCAGCCACUGGGGCAGGUGUAACCAAACUGACAUUUUGAUCUCUGCCUGCCUGGAUGAGUAGCAAGAGUAUCACUCACCGGAGUCCCUCAAACGUGAAUGAAAACAAUAUUCUCUUUUUAUUUUUCAUGUUUCUGUAUUGUUUGGAUUUUUUUGUUAUAAUGAACACAUAUUACAUAUAGUAAUAUGGGUAGAUAUCUCUAAAUACAGAGAUACGAAAUUAUAAAAUCUGUAUCCUUGCAGUUUUCACCUAA